UACGGAGGGUGCAAGCGUUAUCCGGAUUUACUGGGUUUAAAGGGUGCGUAGGCGGACUUUUAAGUCAGGGGUGAAAUCCCGGGGCUCAACCCCGGAACUGCCUUUGAUACUAUUGGUCUUGAAUGUUGUGGAGGUGGGCGGAACGGGUCAUGUAGCGGUGAAAUGCAUAGAUAUGACCCGGAACACCGAUUGCGAAGGCAGCCCGCUACGCAACGAUUGACGCUGAGGCACGAAAGCGUGGGGAGCGAACAGG
Molecule: ribosomal RNA, 253 nt
Filed under: uncultured bacterium
Lineage: Bacteria
Description: partial 16S ribosomal RNA
Rfam family: Bacterial small subunit ribosomal RNA
Source: RNAcentral